RNAcentral lists this ribosomal RNA (1232 nucleotides) under metagenome. RNAcentral's name for it is "bacterial LSU rRNA". It matches the Rfam family "Bacterial large subunit ribosomal RNA", at positions 1564 to 2808 of the family's 2925-position model. The record is from RNAcentral.
UGAAUACGAGACGCUACGGCGUCGAAGCAGUCUAUGUCAUACUUCCAAGAAAAGCUCGCAAUGUCAUAAACAAAUAAUGCCUGUACCAUAACCGACACAGGUGGGUAGGUAGAGUAUACUAAGGGGCGCGAGAUAACUCUCUCUAAGGAACUCGGCAAAAUGACUCCGUAACUUCGGGAGAAGGAGUGCCUUAUUUAUAAGGUUGCAAUAACAAGAUCCAAGCAACUGUUUAUCAAAAACACAGGUCUCCGCUAAGUCGUAAGACGAUGUAUGGGGGCUGACGCCUGCCCAGUGCCAGAAGGUUAAAGAAGUCGGUUAGCAUUCGCGAAGCUGAUAACUGAAGCCCUGGUGAACGGCGGCCGUAAUAACGGUCCUAAGGUAGCGAAAUUCCUUGUCGGGUAAGUUCCGACCCGCACGAAAGGCGUAAUGAUUUGGAUACUGUCUCGGAGAGGGGCUCGGUGAAAUAGACUUGUCUGUGAAGAUGCGGACUACCUGCACCUGGACAGAAAGACCCUAUGAAGCUUUACUGUAACUUGAAAUUGAAAUUGGACUUUAUUUGCGCAGCAUAGGUGGGAGGCGUUGAGAGUAUUCUUGCGGGAAUAUUGGAGCCAUCAGUGAGAUACCACUCUUGUAAUGUUAGAUUUCUAACUUUGUAUCAUUAUCUGGUCAAAGAACAGUUUCAGGCGGGCAGUUUGACUGGGGCGGUCGCCUCCCAAACGGUAACGGAGGCGUACAAAGGUUUCCUCUGAACGGGUAGAAAUCGUAUCUAGAGUGUAAAGGCAUAAGGAAGCUUGACUGUGAGACCUACAAGUCGAGCAGGGACGAAAGUCGGUCUUAGUGAUCUGACGGUGCUGAGUGGAAAGGCCGUCACUCAACGGAUAAAAGUUACUCUAAGGAUAACAGGCUGAUCUCCCCCAAGAGUUCACAUCGACGGGGAGGUUUGGCACCUCGAUGUCGGCUCAUCGCAUCCUGGGGCGGUAGUACGUCCCAAGGGUUGGGCUGUUCGCCCAUGAAAGCGGUACGCGAGCUGGGUUCAGAACGUCGUGAGACAGUUCGGUCCAUAUCCGGUGUAGGCGUUAGAAUAUUGAGAGGAGCCUUCUUUAGUACGAGAGGACCGAGAAGGACAUACCUCUGGUGUACCAGUUAUCGUGCCAACGGUAAACGCUGGGUAGCUAUGUAUGGAGAGGAUAACCGCUGAAAGCAUCUAAGUGGGAAGCCCACCUCAAGAUAAG